RNAcentral lists this ribosomal RNA (143 nucleotides) under uncultured eukaryote. RNAcentral's name for it is "partial 18S ribosomal RNA". It matches the Rfam family "Eukaryotic small subunit ribosomal RNA", at positions 1299 to 1458 of the family's 1831-position model. The record is from RNAcentral.
UGGUGGAGUGAUUUGUCUGGUUAAUUCCGUUAACGAACGAGACCUCGGCCUACUAAAUAGUUGGACGAACUCUUCGGGGUUCGGCUGUCAACUUCUUAGAGGGACUAUCGGUGGUUAGCCGAUGGAAGUUCGAGGCAAUAACA